Molecule: ribosomal RNA, 291 nt
Filed under: uncultured bacterium
Lineage: Bacteria
Description: partial 16S ribosomal RNA
Rfam family: Bacterial small subunit ribosomal RNA
Source: RNAcentral
GUGGAUUAGAUACCCUGGUAGUCCAUGCCGUAAACGAUGAGUGCUAAGUGUUAGGGGGUUUCCGCCCCUUAGUGCUGCAGCUAACGCAUUAAGCACUCCGCCUGGGGAGUACGACCGCAAGGUUGAAACUCAAAGGAAUUGACGGGGGCCCGCACAAGCGGUGGAGCAUGUGGUUUAAUUCGAAGCAACGCGAAGAACCUUACCAGGUCUUGACAUCCCGAUGACCGCUCUAGAGAUAGAGUUUUCCCUUCGGGGACAUUGGUGACAGGUGGUGCAUGGUUGUCGCCAGCU